This 189-nucleotide ribosomal RNA is filed under the name uncultured bacterium. RNAcentral describes it as "partial 16S ribosomal RNA". It matches the Rfam family "Bacterial small subunit ribosomal RNA", at positions 338 to 524 of the family's 1533-position model. The record is from RNAcentral.
CCUACGGGAGGCAGCAGUAAGGAAUAUUGGUCAAUGGGCGGAAGCCUGAACCAGCCAUGCCGCGUGCAGGACGACUGCCCUACGGGUUGUAAACUGCUUUUGUACGGGAACAAACCCCACUACGCGUAGUGGGCUGAGUGUACCGUAAGAAUAAGGAUCGGCUAACUCCGUGCCAGCAGCCGCGGUAAU